AUACGGAGGAUGCAAGCGUUAUCCGGAUUUAUUGGGUUUAAAGGGAGCGCAGGCGGAGAUGCAAGCGUGACGUCAAAUUUCGGGGCUCAACCCCGUCUCGCGUCGCGAACUGCGUCCCUUGGUUGCGGGAAGGGGAGGCGGAACUCGUGGUGUAGCGGGGAAAUGCAUAGAUAUCACGAAGAACUCCGAUCGCGAAGGCAGCCUUCCGGCCCGUCAACGACGCUCAUGCUCGAAGGUGCGGGUAUCAAACAGGAUUAGAUACCCUGGUAGUCCGCACAGUAAACGAUGGACACCCGCGGUUUGGCCUGUAUGGCUGAGCCGCCAAGCGAAAGCGUUAAGUGUCCCACCUGGGGAGUACGCCGGCAACGGUGAAACUCAAAUGAAUCGACGGGG
RNAcentral lists this ribosomal RNA (393 nucleotides) under uncultured bacterium. RNAcentral's name for it is "partial 16S ribosomal RNA". It matches the Rfam family "Bacterial small subunit ribosomal RNA", at positions 523 to 918 of the family's 1533-position model. The record is from RNAcentral.